RNAcentral lists this ribosomal RNA (369 nucleotides) under uncultured phototrophic eukaryote. Its description in RNAcentral is "SSU rRNA". It matches the Rfam family "Bacterial small subunit ribosomal RNA", at positions 524 to 896 of the family's 1533-position model. The record is from RNAcentral.
UACGGGGGAUGCAAGCGUUAUCCGGAAUCAUUGGGCGUAAAGCGCCUGUAGGUUGUUUAGUAAGUCUGUUGUUAAAGGCUAGGGCUUAACCCUAGAAAAGCAAUGGAAACUACUAGACUAGAGUAUGGCAGGGGUAGAGGGAAUUUCUAGUGUAGCGGUGAAAUGCGUAGAUAUUAGAAAGAACACCAGCGGCGAAAGCGCUCUACUGGACCAUUACUGACACUCAGAGGCGAAAGCUAGGGUAGCAAAAGGGAUUAGAUACCCCUGUAGUCCUAGCCGUAAACGAUGGAUACUAGAUGUUGUGCUAAUUGUACAGUAUCGUAGCUAACGCGUUAAGUAUCCCGCCUGGGGAGUACGCUCGCAAGGGUG